CAGAAAGACCUUGAGAAAUUUGGGCUGAAGUAGACAAUACUACCGGGCCCUUCAGGGGAAGUGAGCAGGACUUGCAAGGAAAGGGGAGCUGAAGGAUUGUCAAAAGAAGCUCCAUCAGGUCUGAAAGCAUUCUGUUUUCGCUCUGUCCAUAAGGAAGGAAACUUCUUGUGGUCCUGCUGAGUGGUUUUUGGCUUUCAAGUCUCCAUCAAUCUAAAGAAAGUAAGAGUCAAGUGAGAUACAAGAAGCAGUGAAGAGACAUGAAAACUAACAAGAAGUUAGGAGAUGAUGCCUGCACAAAUGAUAAGAGAAUAUGGUGGAAGCUGUAAAAUUGUUAGAAAUCAACUCCAUUCCAUUUACUUGUGUGCCACAAUAUUGCAUGUUUUCUGAAGUCUUUCCUUCAGAAUAACUGAUGUAAAGCAGGAAAGUGGAACAUUGAGAGUGGAGACAUUGAAAUUUGCAAUGAAGUGUAUUGACAUGGUAUAAGGUGUAGUGAUAUUAGUUUGCA
Molecule: long non-coding RNA, 505 nt
Organism: Passer montanus (Eurasian tree sparrow)
Lineage: Eukaryota; Metazoa; Chordata; Aves; Passeriformes; Passeridae
Exons: 5
Source: RefSeq, a predicted model, not a curated record